GGUCGAGUGGUGGAAUUGGUAGACACGCAGCAUUAAGGAUGCUGUGCCGAAAGGCGUGCGGGUUCAAGUCCCGCCUUGACCACCA
Molecule: transfer RNA, 85 nt
Filed under: Coraliomargarita sinensis
Lineage: Bacteria; Pseudomonadati; Verrucomicrobiota; Opitutia; Puniceicoccales; Coraliomargaritaceae
Description: Coraliomargarita sp. WN38 tRNA-Leu
Rfam family: tRNA
About the family: Transfer RNA (tRNA) molecules are approximately 80 nucleotides in length. Their secondary structure includes four short double-helical elements and three loops (D, anti-codon, and T loops). Further hydrogen bonds mediate the characteristic L-shaped molecular structure. tRNAs have two regions of fundamental functional importance: the anti-codon, which is responsible for specific mRNA codon recognition, and the 3' end, to which the tRNAs corresponding amino acid is attached (by aminoacyl-tRNA synthetases). tRNAs cope with the degeneracy of the genetic code in two manners: having more than one tRNA (with a specific anti-codon) for a particular amino acid; and 'wobble' base-pairing, i.e. permitting non-standard base-pairing at the 3rd anti-codon position.
Source: RNAcentral